GCUGGGUGUGGUGGCGGGCACCUGUAAUCCCAGCUACUUAGGAGGCUGAAGCAGGAGAAUUGCUUGAACUCGGGAGGCGGAGGUUGCAGUGAGCUGAGAUCGUGCCACUGCACUCCAGCCUGGGUGACAGAGCAAGACUCUGUCUCAA
Molecule: non-coding RNA, 148 nt
Organism: Papio anubis (olive baboon)
Lineage: Eukaryota; Metazoa; Chordata; Mammalia; Primates; Cercopithecidae
Source: Rfam